Molecule: long non-coding RNA, 428 nt
Organism: Cuculus canorus (common cuckoo)
Lineage: Eukaryota; Metazoa; Chordata; Aves; Cuculiformes; Cuculidae
Exons: 3
Source: RefSeq, a predicted model, not a curated record
UUUACUGCAAGGUGAUGGGUAUCAGUAAUCUGCUUCCAUUAACCCACCCUCGGGAAAGACCAGUAAAGAGAAAGAAGUUAUUGAUGAGAACAGGGGACAAGUAAAUAGCCAAGAGACCUAAGGCACUGAUCAACCUGAUGGUCAUUGUGCAACCAGAGAUACAAAGAAGAUAUUUGUGUGAGGCUAGAAAACCAAAUGAAAGCAUUUUUGCUCCCGGUAGAAGGUAUGAGACAAGCUUCGAAAGCACAUCCUGGUAGAACAUGACAUUAGUUAAUUAGACUAUCUACUCAAUGAGAGGUAAAGAAGAAAUCUUUCCAAGCAGAUGUAUUCUACAAAACAUGUUCACUCACGGAAGUUCUGGAUCCCUCACAUUAUUCCAUUUGAAGAAGUCUCAGCCCACCAGACUGGCUGUAUAAACUGAAUAAAUG